Molecule: ribosomal RNA, 402 nt
Filed under: Bacteroidota bacterium
Lineage: Bacteria; Pseudomonadati; Bacteroidota
Description: Bacteroidetes bacterium partial 16S ribosomal RNA
Rfam family: Bacterial small subunit ribosomal RNA
Source: RNAcentral
UGGGGAAUUUUGCACAAUGGGGGAAACCCUGAUGCAGCGACGCCGCGUGAUUUAGAAGGCCUUCGGGUUGUAAAAAUCUUUUGUAUAGGAAGAAAAUGACAGUACUAUACGAAUAAGGACCGGCUAAUUACGUGCCAGCAGCCGCGGUAAUACGUAAGGUCCGAGCGUUGUCCGGAAUCAUUGGGCGUAAAGGGUACGUAGGCGGGUAAGCAAGUUAGAAGUGAAAUCCUAUAGCUCAACUAUAGUAAGCUUUUAAAACUGCUCAUCUUGAGGUAUGGAAGGGAAAGUGGAAUUCCUAGUGUAGCGGUGAAAUGCGCAGAUAUUAGGAGGAAUACCGGUGGCGAAGGCGACUUUCUGGCCAUAACCUGACGCUGAGGCUCGAAAGCGUGGGUAGCAAACAGG